GCUAUCUGCAGUCGACGAACUCUGGUAUUGAUUGGUGCUUGCAUCAUGAUUUACAUUUGAGUGAGUGGCGAACUGGUGAGUAACACGUGGGAAACCUGCCCAGAAGCGGGGGAUAACACCUGGAAACAGAUGCUAAUACCGCAUAACAACUUGGACCGCAUGGUCCGAGUUUGAAAGAUGGCUUCGGCUAUCACUUUUGGAUGGUCCCGCGGCGUAUUAGCUAGAUGGUGGGGUAACGGCUCACCAUGGCAAUGAUACGUAGCCGACCUGAGAGGGUAAUCGGCCACAUUGGGACUGAGACACGGCCCAAACUCCUACGGGAGGCAGCAGUAGGGAAUCUUCCACAAUGGACGAAAGUCUGAUGGAGCAACGCCGCGUGAGUGAAGAAGGGUUUCGGCUCGUAAAACUCUGUUGUUAAAGAAGAACAUAUCUGAGAGUAACUGUUCAGGUAUUGACGGUAUUUAACCAGAAAGCCACGGCUAACUACGUGCCAG
This 494-nucleotide ribosomal RNA is filed under the name Lactiplantibacillus plantarum. RNAcentral's name for it is "bacterial SSU rRNA". It matches the Rfam family "Bacterial small subunit ribosomal RNA", at positions 50 to 511 of the family's 1533-position model. The record is from RNAcentral. Lineage: Bacteria; Bacillati; Bacillota; Bacilli; Lactobacillales; Lactobacillaceae.